GACGAACGCUGGCGGCGUGCUUAACACAUGCAAGUCGAACGGAGAGGCCCUGCUUUUGGGGGGUGCUCGAGUGGCGAACGGGUGAGUAACACGUGAGUAACCUGCCCUUGACUUUGGGAUAACUUCAGGAAACUGGGGCUAAUACCGGAUAGGAGCUCCUGCUGCAUGGUGGGGGUUGGAAAGUUUCGGCGGUUGGGGAUGGACUCGCGGCUUAUCAGCUUGUUGGUGGGGUAGUGGCUUACCAAGGCUUUGACGGGUAGCCGGCCUGAGAGGGUGACCGGCCACAUUGGGACUGAGAUACGGCCCAGACUCCUACGGGAGGCAGCAGUGGGGAAUAUUGCACAAUGGGCGGAAGCCUGAUGCAGCAACGCCGCGUGCGGGAUGACGGCCUUCGGGUUGUAAACCGCUUUCGCCUGUGACGAAGCGUGAGUGACGGUAAUGGGUAAAGAAGCACCGGCUAACUACGUGCCAGCAGCCGCGGUGAUACGUAGGGUGCGAGCGUUGUCCGGAUUUAUUGGGCGUAAAGGGCUCGUAGGUGGUUGAUCGCGUCGGAAGUGUAAUCUUGGGGCUUAACCCUGAGCGUGCUUUCGAUACGGGUUGACUUGAGGAAGGUAGGGGAGAAUGGAAUUCCUGGUGGAGCGGUGGAAUGCGCAGAUAUCAGGAGGAACACCAGUGGCGAAGGCGGUUCUCUGGGCCUUUCCUGACGCUGAGGAGCGAAAGCGUGGGGAGCGAACAGGCUUAGAUACCCUGGUAGUCCACGCUGUAAACGGUGGGUACUAGGUGUGGGGUCCAUUCCACGGGUUCCGUGCCGUAGCUAACGCUUUAAGUACCCCGCCUGGGGAGUACGGCCGCAAGGCUAAAACUCAAAGGAAUUGACGGGGCCCCGCACAAGCGGCGGAGCAUGCGGAUUAAUUCGAUGCAACGCGUAGAACCUUACCUGGGUUUGACAUGGAUCGGGAGCGCUCAGAGAUGGGUGUGCCUCUUUUGGGGUCGGUUCACAGGUGGUGCAUGGCUGUCGUCAGCUCGUGUCGUGAGAUGUUGGGUUAAGUCCCGCAACGAGCGCAACCCUUGUUCACUGUUGCCAGCACGUUAUGGUGGGGACUCAGUGGAGACCGCCGGGGUCAACUCGGAGGAAGGUGGGGAUGACGUCAAGUCAUCAUGCCCCUUAUGUCCAGGGCUUCACGCAUGCUACAAUGGCUGGUACAGAGAGUGGCGAGCCUGUGAGGGUGAGCGAAUCUCGGAAAGCCGGUCUCAGUUCGGAUUGGGGUCUGCAACUCGACCUCAUGAAGUCGGAGUCGCUAGUAAUCGCAGAUCAGCAACGCUGCGGUGAAUACGUUCCCGGGGCU
RNAcentral lists this ribosomal RNA (1346 nucleotides) under uncultured bacterium. RNAcentral describes it as "bacterial SSU rRNA". It matches the Rfam family "Bacterial small subunit ribosomal RNA", at positions 28 to 1381 of the family's 1533-position model. The record is from RNAcentral.